Molecule: ribosomal RNA, 2923 nt
Filed under: human oral metagenome
Description: bacterial LSU rRNA
Rfam family: Bacterial large subunit ribosomal RNA
Source: RNAcentral
ACACGUGAAAUCCUGUCUGAAGCCGGGUCGACCACGAUCCAACCCUAAAUACUACUACUAGACCGAUAGCGUACAAGUACCGUGAGGGAAAGGUGAAAAGAACGGCGGUGAGCCGAGUGAAAUAGAACCUGAAACCGUUUGCUUACAAUCAUUCAGAGCACUAUGUGGGUCUGUUUGAAUAUUAAGGACGGCUUGUCUUUUGGCGAUAAAUUAAUGAGUUCGAUUUUUUCUCAAUCGAUAGGCUAAAAGCCUUAUCUCAAUCGAAAAAAUCUUCACAACAUUAAUUUCUCAUCCAAAACAAGCGAAGCGUUUUUUGCAAAAGCAAAAAUGUUUCUUUGAAAAUACCGCGCCUUUGGGCGGGUAUAUCUUGUUUUUACAAUUUUUUUAUAAAUCAUCGGAUUAAAUUUGAAAUUUUAAAAGUAAAGAGAGAUAGAGCUUUUAAAAUCAAAAUUUCAAACCGUAGAUUAAAUUUAAAUAGAUCAAAUUUAAAAUUUAAAUCAAACAAGAUAAGACGAUCCAAGAUUAGUAUUGAAACAGAUCCACAGUGUGAUGGACUGCCUUUUGCAUAAUGAGCCUGCGAGUUGUGGUGUCUGGCGAGGUUAAGGAAACCCGGAGCCGUAGCGAAAGCGAGUCUUAAUAGGGCGAUUAGUCAGAUGCUGCAGACCCGAAACGAUGUGAUCUAUCCAUGAGCAGGUUGAAGCCGGUGUAAGAGCCGGUGGAGGACCCAACCGACGGCCGUUGAAAAGGCUCCGGAUGACUUGUGGAUAGGGGUGAAAGGCCAAUCAAACAUCGUGAUAGCUGGUUCUCUCCGAAAUAUAUUGAGGUAUAGCGUCGUGUAGUAGUUAUAAGGGGUAGAGCACUGAAUGGGCUAGGGCAUACACCAAUGUACCAAACCCUAUCAAACUCCGAAUACUUAUAGCGUAACCACGGCAGUCAGGCGGCGAGUGAUAAAAUCCGUCGUCAAGAGGGAAACAACCCGGACUAACAGCUAAGGUCCCCAAAUCUCAUUUAAGUGGAAAACGAUGUGAAGUUACUGAAACAACCAGGAGGUUGGCUUAGAAGCAGCCAUCCUUUAAAGAUAGCGUAAUAGCUCACUGGUCUAGUGAUUUUGCGCGGAAAAUAUAACGGGGCUAAAAUGAGUACCGAAGCUUUAGACUUGCACUUAAUCAUUUAUACUUGGCUUGGCUUUUGAGCGUCUUUAAAUGAGCUCGUAAAAAUAAAUGCUCACGAACUAUAUGUUCGCUCCGCUUUAUUUUUACGUCGCAACAUUUAAAUCCAUCUCAAAAAUCCUGCGCCAUCUUGAGUUCAAAUUUGAAUCUAAUGUCUUAGUCUAAAUUUUAGAAAUUUCAAAUUUCUUAGAAUUUUAAAAUUUAGCAACAAAAGCAAAAAGACAAGCAAAGCUUUUAAGAUAAAGGCGAAGUAUUUUUGUCUUUAGGCGAGGCGAAUUUUAGCGAAGCAAGGGAGUUAUCGUUUGGAUAAUGACCGAAGCUGAGCGAAAAUUUAACGAAGCAUAAAGCAAAAAGACAAGCCGCAAUAAAAGUAUAAAUCAUUAAGUGCAAGUGGUAGGAGAGCGUUCCAAUCAGCGUCGAAGCCGUACCGGUAAGGAGCGGUGGAGCGGUUGGAAGUGAGCAUGCAGGCAUGAGUAGCGAUAAAAUACGUGAGAAUCGUAUUCGCCGUAAACCCAAGGUUUCCUACGCGAUGCUCGUCAUCGUAGGGUUAGUCGGGUCCUAAGCAAAGUCCGAAAGGGGUAUGCGAUGGAAAAUCGGUUAAUAUUCCGAUACCGAUAUCAGUGUGCGACGGAAGGACGCUUAAAGUUAGUGGAGCUAGCGGAUGGAAGUGCUAGUCUAAGGAAGUAGGUUGAGUUAUAGGCAAAUCCGUAACUCUUUAUCCGAGAUCUGAAAGGCUUCUGACGCUCUUCGGAGUAGAUGAAGAAUCCAUGAUACUAUCGAGCCGAGAAAAGUUUCUAAGUUUAGCUGAUAUCGCCCGUACCGUAAACCGACACAGGUGGGUGGGAUGAGUAUUCUAAGGCGCGUGGAAGAACUCUCUUUAAGGAACUCUGCAAAAUAGCACCGUAUCUUCGGUAUAAGGUGUGCCUAGCUUCGUUAAGAAUUUACUUCGUAAGCGAAGAAGGUUACAACAAAGAGUCCCUCCCGACUGUUUACCAUAAACACAGCACUCUGCUAACUCGUAAGAGGAUGUAUAGGGUGUGACGCCUGCCCGGUGCUCGAAGGUUAAUUGAUGAUGUUAGCUUACGCAAAGCAUCUGAUCGAAGCCCGAGUAAACGGCGGCCGUAACUAUAACGGUCCUAAGGUAGCGAAAUUCCUUGUCGGUUAAAUACCGACCUGCAUGAAUGGCGUAACGAGAUGGGAGCUGUCUCAAAGAGGGAUCCAGUGAAAUUGUAGUGGAGGUGAAAAUUCCUCCUACCCGCGGCAAGACGGAAAGACCCCGUGGACCUUUACUAUAGCUUGACACUGCUACUUGGAUAAAGAUGCGCAGGAUAGGUGGGAGGCUUUGAGUCGUAGAUCUCGGUUUACGAUGAGCCAUUGUUGAGAUACCACUCUUCUUUAUUCGGGUAGCUAACUAGCCUAAGUUAUCCUUAGGUAGGACAAUGUCUGGUGGGUAGUUUGACUGGGGCGGUCGCCUCCCAAAAUGUAACGGAGGCUUACAAAGGUUGGCUCAAAGCGGUUGGAAAUCGCUUGCAGAGUAUAAAGGCAAAAGCCAGCUUAACUGCGAGACAUACACGUCGAGCAGAGACGAAAGUCGGUCUUAGUGAUCCGGUGGUUCUGUGUGGAAGGGCCAUCGCUCAAAGGAUAAAAGGUACCCCGGGGAUAACAGGCUGAUCUCCCCCAAGAGCUCACAUCGACGGGGAGGUUUGGCACCUCGAUGUCGGCUCAUCGCAUCCUGGGGCUGGAGCAGGUCCCAA